This 439-nucleotide ribosomal RNA is filed under the name uncultured bacterium. RNAcentral describes it as "bacterial SSU rRNA". It matches the Rfam family "Bacterial small subunit ribosomal RNA", at positions 958 to 1400 of the family's 1533-position model. The record is from RNAcentral.
AACGCGAAGAACCUUACCAGGUCUUGACAUCCUCUUGAAUAGCGUAGAGAUAGGCUAGGCCUUCGGGACAAGAGAGACAGGUGGUGCAUGGUUGUCGUCAGCUCGUGUCGUGAGAUGUUGGGUUAAGUCCCGCAACGAGCGCAACCCUUGAUCUUAGUUGCCAGCAUUAAGUUGGGCACUCUAGGAUGACUGCCGGUGACAAACCGGAGGAAGGUGGGGAUGACGUCAAAUCAUCAUGCCCCUUAUGACCUGGGCUACACACGUACUACAAUGGCCGGUACAACGGGCCGCGAUACCGCGAGGUGGAGCGAAUCCUUAAAAGCCGGUCUCAGUUCGGAUUGCAGGCUGCAACUCGCCUGCAUGAAGUCGGAAUUGCUAGUAAUCGCGGAUCAGCAUGCCGCGGUGAAUACGUUCCCGGGCCUUGUACACACCGUGUCGA